RNAcentral lists this ribosomal RNA (50 nucleotides) under Trichonympha collaris. Its description in RNAcentral is "partial 28S large subunit ribosomal RNA". Lineage: Eukaryota; Parabasalia; Trichonymphida; Trichonymphidae. The record is from RNAcentral.
AAGAGUUCUGUAUUAAAGGAGAUAACUCACUGAAUUGAAGCAUCUCACUA